UAUAAACUUUUUUUAACUUUUAAGUCCUGCUUGUUUCCAGAUUCUCUCAGGUUGCACGCGCCGCCGCGAAAAUCCAAAAAUCGGCGAACGUUGAGAAGGAGAAAUCUGAGAGAUGCAAGGAGGAAUGUGGAGCCAACUAUGGAGGAAAUACGCGGAUUAUAAGUACAACAAGUUCGAGAGAUUUGCUGUCUGGGAAAUGAUUGAACCGUACCGUCGACCCAAAACCUUCACAACUUUGAUUACUAUCUAUGUCGCCGCCUUUUACACCGGCGUCAUCGGCGCUGCGAUUACAGAGCAGAUUUACAAGGAGAAAUUUUGGGAAGAGCAUCCAGGGAAAACGGUGCCUCUGAUGAAGCCAAUAUUCUAUCGAGGACCAUGGAGAGUUUAUCGUGGUGAGGCUAUUGCCUCAGAUGCUAGCAGCCAGUGAAGAUAACGAUUAGGCUAUCAGAGACUAUGGUCAAGGAUGUAUCUCCGAGUUUGAUGCGCAGCUUUAAAUGGAUUUAUGGUCCUUCACUGGUUUAUGUGGAUUUAAGCUUGCUGGUAUACUGUCCUUGUAGACAAUAAGGUCUACUGACUCUUUUAAGGUUUGUGAUUCUCCAAGUUACAAGUAAUGACAGUCUCGUUAUAGCAUCAAAGUUUUCCUGUGAGAAGUUUAAGGGUCUCUAUCCAUUCCUUUGAAUAUCUCUCCUUUCCAUUAGUAGUACAUCGUGGAAGUCCUCUCUUCUUUUUUCCUUAAAUAAAACAUUCCCGUGUACGAAAGAUGGCCAUGCUGUUCAAGUAGAGCUUCACGUUCUAGCAGAGACAACAAACACACUUACGAGCCGACAGAUUGUACAUGGGAAGUUUGACAUGGAUAGAGAGGUUUGGAGUCUCAUAGAGAUAUAGGAAAGAAACA
Molecule: RNA transcript, 895 nt
Organism: Eutrema salsugineum
Lineage: Eukaryota; Viridiplantae; Streptophyta; Magnoliopsida; Brassicales; Brassicaceae
Exons: 3
Source: RefSeq, a predicted model, not a curated record